RNAcentral lists this ribosomal RNA (326 nucleotides) under uncultured bacterium. Its description in RNAcentral is "bacterial SSU rRNA". It matches the Rfam family "Bacterial small subunit ribosomal RNA", at positions 1050 to 1377 of the family's 1533-position model. The record is from RNAcentral.
UGUCGUCAGCUCGUGUCGUGAGAUGUUGGGUUAAGUCCCGCAACGAGCGCAACCCUUAAGCUUAGUUGCCAUCAUUAAGUUGGGCACUCUAAGUUGACUGCCGGUGACAAACCGGAGGAAGGUGGGGAUGACGUCAAAUCAUCAUGCCCCUUAUGAUUUGGGCUACACACGUGCUACAAUGGACAAUACAAAGGGUAGCGAAACCGCGAGGUCAAGCAAAUCCCAUAAAGUUGUUCUCAGUUCGGAUUGUAGUCUGCAACUCGACUACAUGAAGCUGGAAUCGCUAGUAAUCGUAGAUCAGCAUGCUACGGUGAAUACGUUCCCGG